This 435-nucleotide ribosomal RNA is filed under the name uncultured bacterium. Its description in RNAcentral is "partial 16S ribosomal RNA". It matches the Rfam family "Bacterial small subunit ribosomal RNA", at positions 28 to 507 of the family's 1533-position model. The record is from RNAcentral.
GAUGAACGCUGGCGGUAUGCUUAACACAUGCAAGUCGAACGGACUCUUCGGAGUUAGUGGCGGACGGGUGAGUAACGCGUGAGAAUCUGGCUUUGGGUUCGGGACAACCACUGGAAACGGUGGCUAAUACCGGAUGUGCCGAGAGGUAAAAGGGAAAUUGCCUGAAGAUGAGCUCGCGUCUGAUUAGCUAGUUGGUGAGGUAAAGGCUCACCAAGGCAGCGAUCAGUAGCUGGUCUGAGAGGAUGACCAGCCACACUGGGACUGAGACACGGCCCAGACUCCUACGGGAGGCAGCAGUGGGGAAUUUUCCGCAAGGGGCGAAAGCCUGACGGAGCAAUACCGCGUGAGGGAAGAAGGCUCUUGGGUUGUAAACCUCUUUUCUUAGGGAAGAACAAAAUGACGGUACCUAAGGAAUCAGCAUCGGCUAACUCCGUG